This 253-nucleotide ribosomal RNA is filed under the name uncultured bacterium. Its description in RNAcentral is "partial 16S ribosomal RNA". It matches the Rfam family "Bacterial small subunit ribosomal RNA", at positions 524 to 776 of the family's 1533-position model. The record is from RNAcentral.
UACAGAGGGGGCGAGCGUUGUUCGGAAUUACUGGGCGUAAAGGGCGCGUAGGCGGCCUGUUAAGUCGGACGUGAAAUCCCUCGGCUCAACCGGGGAACUGCGUCCGAUACUGGCGGGCUUGAAUUCGGGAGAGGGAUGUGGAAUUCCAGGUGUAGCGGUGAAAUGCGUAGAUAUCUGGAGGAACACCGGUGGCGAAGGCGGCAUCCUGGACCGACAUUGACGCUGAGGCGCGAAAGCCAGGGGAGCAAACGGG